This 433-nucleotide ribosomal RNA is filed under the name uncultured bacterium. RNAcentral's name for it is "partial 16S ribosomal RNA". It matches the Rfam family "Bacterial small subunit ribosomal RNA", at positions 29 to 507 of the family's 1533-position model. The record is from RNAcentral.
AACGAACGCUGGCGGCAUGCCUAACACAUGCGAGUCGAACGAGACCUUCGGGUCUAGUGGCGCACGGGUGCGUAACGCGUGGGAACCUGCCCUUAGGUUCGGAAUAACUCCCCGAAAGGGGUGCUAAUACCGGAUAAUGCCUUCGGACCAAAGAUUUAUCGCCUUUGGAUGGGCCCGCGUUGGAUUAGCUAGUUGGUAGGGUAAAAGCCUACCAAGGCGACGAUCCAUAGCUGGUCUGAGAGGAUGAUCAGCCACACUGGGACUGAGACACGGCCCAGACUCCUACGGGAGGCAGCAGUGGGGAAUAUUGGACAAUGGGCGAAAGCCUGAUCCAGCAAUGCCGCGUGAGUGAUGAAGGCCUUAGGGUUGUAAAGCUCUUUCACCCGGGAUGAUAAUGACAGUACCGGGAGAAUAAGCUCCGGCUAACUCCGUG